This 247-nucleotide ribosomal RNA is filed under the name uncultured bacterium. RNAcentral's name for it is "partial 16S ribosomal RNA". It matches the Rfam family "Bacterial small subunit ribosomal RNA", at positions 523 to 769 of the family's 1533-position model. The record is from RNAcentral.
AUACGGAGGGUGCAAGCGUUAUCCGGAUUUAUUGGGUUUAAAGGGUCCGUAGGCGGGCCGAUAAGUCAGUGGUGAAAUCUCGCAGCUUAACUGUGAAACUGCCAUUGAUACUGUUGGUCUUGAGUAAAUUUGAAGUGGCUGGAAUAAGUAGUGUAGCGGUGAAAUGCAUAGAUAUUACUUAGAACACCAAUUGCGAAGGCAGGUCACUAAGAUUUAACUGACGCUGAUGGACGAAAGCGUGGGUAGC